This 1818-nucleotide ribosomal RNA is filed under the name Schizoporella erratoidea. RNAcentral describes it as "SSU rRNA". It matches the Rfam family "Eukaryotic small subunit ribosomal RNA". The record is from RNAcentral. Lineage: Eukaryota; Metazoa; Bryozoa; Gymnolaemata; Cheilostomatida; Schizoporellidae.
AGUCAUAUGCUUGUCUCAAAGAUUAAGCCUGCAUGUCUAAGUACAAGCCGUUCCCACGGGGAGACUGGAAAGGGUUAAUUAAAUACGGUUAUGAUUACUAUGGCGACCGACUCUACCGGGGUUAACGUGCGGAUUCUACGGCUCUAAUACAUGCACCAAAUCUGCCAUCCCGGGCUGAGGGCUUUUAUUAGACGCACUUAUUAGGCGAAAUCCAUUCGGCCCACUUGGGCGACCGUUGAUGAACUACACCUGAUUAAAUGGCCUCGAUCGCACGGCCUAUGAUUUCAAGGAGACCUUCUAUGAACUUCUGAAAGUAUCAUGCUGACGACUACCUUGGCUAUGCCAACCAGCGGGAUAACAGGAUAUCAAAUAAUCUGAGGUCGACUCCGGAGAGGGAGCCUGAGAAACGGCUACCACAUCUAAGGAAGGCAGCAGGCGCGCAAAUUACCCACUCCUGGNACGGGGAGGUAGUGACAAGAAAUAACAAUACGGGACUCUAUCGAGGCCCCGGAAUUGGAAUGAGUACACUUUAAAUCCUUUAACGAGGAUCCAUUGGAGGGCAAGUCUGGUGCCAGCAGCCGCGGUAAUUCCAGCUCCAAUAGCGUAUAUUAAAGUUGUUGCAGUUAAAAAGCUCGUAGUUGGAUCUCGGGUCCAGGCUUGCGGUUCUGCUCGUGCAGACACUGCUCGUCCUGACCUACCUGCCGGUUCUCCCUUGGUGCCCUUGGUUGGGUGUCUCGGGUAGCCGGAACGUUUACUUUGAAAAAAUUAGAGUGUUCAAAGCAGGCUGCACGCCUGAAUAAUGGUGCAUGGAAUAAUAGAAAAGGACCUCGGUUCUAUUUUGUUGGUUGUCUGAACUCGAGGUAAUGAUUAAGAGGGACAGACGGGGGCAUUCGUAUUACGGUGUUAGAGGUGAAAUUCUUGGAUCGCCCGUAAGACGAACUACUGCGAAAGCAUUUGCCAAGGAUGUUUUCAUUAGUCAAGAACGAAAGUCAGAGGUGCGAAGGCGAUCAAGAUACCGCCGUAGUUUCUGACCGUAAACGAUGCCGACUGGCAAUUGGGCGCACUUCUAUAGAAGUUGCCGCCAGCAGUACUGCCCGGGAAACCAAAGUCAUUGGGUUCCGGGGGGAGUAUGGUUGCAAAGCUGAAACUUAAAGGAAUUGACGGAAGGGCACCACCAGGAGUGGAGCCUGCGGCUUAAUUUGACUCAACACGGGGAACCUCACCCGGCCCGAACACUGUUAUGACAGACAGGUUGAGAGCUCUUUCUCGAUUCAGUGGUUGGUGGUGCAUGGCCGUUCUUAGUUCGUGGAGCGAUCUGUCUGGUUAAUUCCGAUAACGAACGAGACUCUUGCCUGCUAAAUAGACGGCGCCGUUCCUAUCCGGCGACCGCUCGCUUCUUAGAGGGACAAGCGGCUUUUAGCCCGCAUGAAGCAGAGAGCAAUAACAGGUCUGUGAUGCAAUUAGAUGUUCGGGGCCGCACGCGCGCUACACUGUUUGCAUCAGCGUGUGACUCCCGCGCCGACUGGCGUGGGCAACCCGUUGAACCGCAAACGUGCUAGGGAUCGGAGAUUGUUCUCCGUGAACGAGGAAUUCCUUGUACUGGCGAGUCAUCAGCUCGCGGGGAAUCUGUCCCUGCCCUUUGUACACACCGCCCGUCGCUACUACCGAUUGAGUGGUUUAGUGAGGCUCACGGACUGCGCGCGGCACACGGCGCUCUCGGGCUGCGCGUCGCGAGGCGGAAAGUGAGACGAACUUGAUCACUUCUAGGAAGUAAAAGUCGUAACAAGGUUUUCGUAGGUGAACCUGCGGAAGGAUCAA